Molecule: ribosomal RNA, 408 nt
Filed under: Staphylococcus aureus
Lineage: Bacteria; Bacillati; Bacillota; Bacilli; Caryophanales; Staphylococcaceae
Description: partial 23S ribosomal RNA
Rfam family: Bacterial large subunit ribosomal RNA
Source: RNAcentral
UUGGCACCUCGAUGUCGGCUCAUCGCAUCCUGGGGCUGUAGUCGGUCCCAAGGGUUGGGCUGUUCGCCCAUUAAAGCGGUACGCGAGCUGGGUUCAGAACGUCGUGAGACAGUUCGGUCCCUAUCCGUCGUGGGCGUAGGAAAUUUGAGAGGAGCUGUCCUUAGUACGAGAGGACCGGGAUGGACAUACCUCUGGUGUACCAGUUGUCGUGCCAACGGCAUAGCUGGGUAGCUAUGUGUGGACGGGAUAAGUGCUGAAAGCAUCUAAGCAUGAAGCCCCCCUCAAGAUGAGAUUUCCCAACUUCGGUUAUAAGAUCCCUCAAAGAUGAUGAGGUUAAUAGGUUCGAGGUGGAAGCAUGGUGACAUGUGGAGCUGACGAAUACUAAUCGAUCGAAGACUUAAUCAAAUU